Long non-coding RNA from Cebus imitator (Panamanian white-faced capuchin), 583 nucleotides. RefSeq lists it as uncharacterized. Lineage: Eukaryota; Metazoa; Chordata; Mammalia; Primates; Cebidae. The record is from RefSeq and is a predicted model, not a curated record. The transcript has 2 exons.
UUCAAAGUCCAGGGGCCGCGCCAGGUACAAGCGCCCUGAGGACGCAUCCAGCGCGAAGGUGCCCUCGGGGUCGGCACCGCCCACCAAUGUGUAGGGUCAUGAUAUGCUGCAAGAGGAAGCUGGAGAGUUCCCCUUUCUCAGCCAGAAAGUGUGCUCAGAGAGAAAGCUGGCCAAGGAUUUCUGAUUGUUGCCCAGACCCUUGACAGAAAUGAUCUGUGCCAGUGUUUACUCUCCUGAGAGACACCAAGACCCUGCCAUGGCUGAACCCUGGAAACAGCUCCUGCUCCAACUCUCUACUGUGGCUGUGGGCCCGGAUAUCCCAGGAGACGGACUUCCCCUGCAUCAAUCAUGGCAGGCAGCAGCACAGCUGUGACACCAUCUCCAGAAGCUGUUAAAGACCUUUGCCCUCUGACUCGCUGCAGGAAGAAAGCAAUAAACAGUGGUCAGGGGAAGUUGUCAGGAAGUGACCCCAAAAGGCACAGGGGCCACUAACUGGAAAUAGGCAAGGCAGAAGUGAAUUUCCUGGCCUGUACAACCCCUGCUCAGAGGUUUCACUGCAAAUAUAGUCUCCAUUUUUAGCAGA